RNAcentral lists this ribosomal RNA (468 nucleotides) under uncultured bacterium. Its description in RNAcentral is "partial 16S ribosomal RNA". It matches the Rfam family "Bacterial small subunit ribosomal RNA", at positions 28 to 507 of the family's 1533-position model. The record is from RNAcentral.
GACGAACGCUGGCGGCGUGCUUAACACAUGCAAGUCGAACGGAAAGGCCCUGCUUUUGUGGGGUGCUCGAGUGGCGAACGGGUGAGUAACACGCGAGUAACCUGCCCUUGACUUUGGGAUAACUUCAGGAAACUGGGGCUAAUACCGGAUAGGAGCUCCUGCUGCAUGGUGGGGGUUGGAGAGUUUCGGCGGUUGGGGAUGGACUCGCGGCUUAUCAGCUAGUUGGUGGGGUAGUGGAUGACCAAGGCUUUGACGGGUAGCCGGCAUGGGAGGGUGACCGGGCACAUUAGGACUGAGAUACGGCCCAGACUCCUACGGGAGGCAGCAGUGGGGAGUAUUGCACAAUGGGCGGAAGCCUGAUGCAGCAACGCCGCGUGCGGGAUAACGGCCUUCGGGGUGUAAACCGCUUUCGCCUGUGACGAAGCGUGAGUGACGGUAAUGAGUAAAGAAGCACCGGCUAACUACGUG